CAGUCGCCGCGGUAAUACAGAGGGUGCGAGCGUUAAUCGGAUUUACUGGGCGUAAAGCGUGCGUAGGCGGCUUUUUAAGUCGGAUGUGAAAUCCCUGAGCUUAACUUAGGAAUUGCAUUCGAUACUGGGAAGCUAGAGUAUGGGAGAGGAUGGUAGAAUUCCAGGUGUAGCGGUGAAAUGCGUAGAGAUCUGGAGGAAUACCGAUGGCGAAGGCAGCCAUCUGGCCUAAUACCGACGCUGAGGUACGAAAGCAUGGGGAGCAAACAGGAUUAGAUACCCGCGUAGUCCCUGUCUCUUAUAC
Molecule: ribosomal RNA, 301 nt
Filed under: uncultured bacterium
Lineage: Bacteria
Description: partial 16S ribosomal RNA
Rfam family: Bacterial small subunit ribosomal RNA
Source: RNAcentral